Molecule: ribosomal RNA, 255 nt
Filed under: uncultured bacterium
Lineage: Bacteria
Description: partial 16S ribosomal RNA
Rfam family: Bacterial small subunit ribosomal RNA
Source: RNAcentral
GACGGAGGGUGCUAGCGUUGUUCGGAAUCACUGGGCGUAAAGGGCGCGUAGGCGGCCACUGCAAGUCGGUUGUGAAAUCUCCGGGCUUAACCCGGAAAGGUCAAUCGAUACUGCAGGGCUAGAGUGCAGAAGGGGCAACUGGAAUUCUCGGUGUAGCGGUGAAAUGCGUAGAUAUCGAGAGGAACACCUGCGGCGAAGGCGGGUUGCUGGGCUGACACUGACGCUGACAGCGCGAAAGCUAGGGGAGCGAACGGG